This is a long non-coding RNA of Castor canadensis (American beaver), 547 nucleotides long. RefSeq lists it as uncharacterized. The record is from RefSeq and is a predicted model, not a curated record. Lineage: Eukaryota; Metazoa; Chordata; Mammalia; Rodentia; Castoridae.
CUGGACCAACGCUGUUUCUAGAAACGCCUCUGUGAUCAACCCAUUGCCACGUGAUGUCAGCCAACCAGAAGCCCCUCUGUCCUGGGCAGUAACAGGGACGCUUUUAUAUUGUGGCGGUGAUUGUCAGGAAAGCGCUGGUCCAACAGGAAGAACCUGGUCUCCGGGGUCAGGCAGCCUGGAGAAAGGAUGGAAGCGAUCGAUAACAUCUUUAUGACAAGGGACAGAAACUACCCUCAAGCAUCAGUGAGCCUCGCAGGACAGACCACCCCAAGUGAGGACGAUUUCCUAUAAUGAUGAGGCUGCAGCCUGGAGCAGGAUUAAUCAUCUCAUGGGGACAGAUUGCUCCCCUCAGGGAUGGAGAGGUGAGCUAUUCCAGUCUUUUACAACGAAACAGGGCUGAUCUGCACGUGCUGAAGGACCACAUGGUUCUCCACCAAGGCUGUACAGAAGAAUUAUCCGGACUGGAGGUGUGGCUCAAGCAAUACAGCACUGGCCUAUUCAAAGCACUGAGUUCAAAUCCUCGUAUCACUCCCCCCACCAAGACAAU